CGAAGAACCUUACCAGGUCCUGACAUCCAUCUAAAGGUACAGAGAUGUACUGUGAGCUUGCUCGAGAUGAGACAGGUGGUGCAUGGUGUCGUCAGCUCGUGUCGUGAGAUGUUGGGUUAAGUCCCGCAACGAGCGCAACCCUUGCCUGCAGUUGCUAACGCGCAAAGGCGAGAACUCUGCAGGGACUGCCGGGGACAACUCGGAGGAAGGUGGGGACGACGUCAAAUCAUCAUGCCCCUUAUGACCUGGGCUACACACGUGCUACAAUGGCCGUAACAAAGAGGAGCGAACCCGCAAGGGGGAGCGGAUCUCAAAAAAGCGGUCUCAGUUCGGAUUGUGGGCUGCAACCCGCCCACAUGAAGUCGGAGUUGCUAGUAAUCGCGGAUCAGCAUGCCGCGGUGAAUACGUUCCCGGGCCUUGUACACACCGCCCGUCACACCAUGAGAGCCGGGAACACCCGAAGUCCGUAGUCUAACCAAUAUGGAGGACGCGGCCGAAGGUGGGUUGGUAAUUGGGGUGAAGUCGUAACAAGGUAACCUA
This 540-nucleotide ribosomal RNA is filed under the name uncultured bacterium. RNAcentral's name for it is "bacterial SSU rRNA". It matches the Rfam family "Bacterial small subunit ribosomal RNA", at positions 962 to 1503 of the family's 1533-position model. The record is from RNAcentral.